This 253-nucleotide ribosomal RNA is filed under the name uncultured bacterium. RNAcentral describes it as "partial 16S ribosomal RNA". It matches the Rfam family "Bacterial small subunit ribosomal RNA", at positions 524 to 776 of the family's 1533-position model. The record is from RNAcentral.
UACGUAGGUGGCAAGCGUUGCCCGGAAUUAUUGGGCGUAAAGCGCGCGCAGGUGGUUUCUUAAGUCUGAUGUGAAAGCCCACGGCUCAACCGUGGAGGGUCAUUGGAAACUGGGGAACUUGAGUGCAGGAGAGAAGAGUGGAAUUCCACGUGUAGCGGUGAAAUGCGUAGAGAUGUGGAGGAACACCAGUGGCGAAGGCGACUCUUUGGCCUGUAACUGACACUGAGGCGCGAAAGCGUGGGGAGCAAACAGG